This is a small nuclear RNA of Danio rerio (zebrafish), 104 nucleotides long. The record is from Ensembl. NCBI's taxonomy places the organism in Eukaryota, Metazoa, Chordata, Actinopteri, Cypriniformes, Danionidae.
GUGUCGCUACGGUGGCACAUAUACUAAAAUUGAAUCAAUACAUAAAAGAUUAGCAUGCCCCCUUAAAGGAUGACACGCAAAUGCGUUAAUCGCUCCAUAUGUAA